UCUUGUUUCCAUAACUGCACAGAUUUUUUUGAACAACACCUAUUUUGUAAAGGCCCUCUGCAAUCCCAAAUGGUUUGUUCUUGUAACCUCAGUUGAGCAGCCAGCAACUAUGUAAUUGGAGAAGAUUGAGUACACACAGCAAAACCAUAGCCUGGUGAGCUCCUGAGAAACUGAAACAAAGAUUACCAGAUGUUUACCCUGCCCUUCCAUAUGUGAAGGGAAAGAUGAACUUACCCACCGACUGCAAGAGGCACACUGAAUGAGUGACUACUACUGUGUUCCUCAGGAUAUUACUCAGGAAUCCCCUUCGACUGAUGGAAACCAUGGAGCCGUCC
Molecule: long non-coding RNA, 335 nt
Organism: Poecilia latipinna (sailfin molly)
Lineage: Eukaryota; Metazoa; Chordata; Actinopteri; Cyprinodontiformes; Poeciliidae
Exons: 2
Source: RefSeq, a predicted model, not a curated record